RNAcentral lists this unclassified non-coding RNA (167 nucleotides) under rhizosphere metagenome. RNAcentral's name for it is "partial ribosomal RNA internal transcribed spacer region". The record is from RNAcentral.
GAGAGUUGCAGGCUUUUGUCUGCCAUCUCUUACCCAUGUCUUUUGCGUACUACACGUUUCCUCGGCAGGUCCGCCUGCCGUUAGGACCCCAUUAAACCAUUUGCAGUUGCAGUCAGCGUCUGAAAAAUUUAAUAAUUACAACUUUUAACAACGGAUCUCUUGGUUCU